UACGUAGGGGGCAAGCGUUGUCCGGAAUUAUUGGGCGUAAAGCGCGCGCAGGCGGUUUGGUAAGUCCGGUGUUUAACCCUGAAGCUCAACUUCAGGUCGCACUGGAAACUGGCAAACUUGAGUGCAGAAGAGGAAAGUGGAAUUCCACGUGUAGCGGUGAAAUGCGUAGAGAUGUGGAGGAACACCAGUGGCGAAGGCGACUUUCUGGGCUGUAACUGACGCUGAGGCGCGAAAGCGUGGGGAGCAAACAGG
RNAcentral lists this ribosomal RNA (252 nucleotides) under uncultured bacterium. Its description in RNAcentral is "partial 16S ribosomal RNA". It matches the Rfam family "Bacterial small subunit ribosomal RNA", at positions 524 to 776 of the family's 1533-position model. The record is from RNAcentral.